CAAUGCCUCUGCAGUGCAGCC
Molecule: microRNA, 21 nt
Filed under: Alligator mississippiensis (American alligator)
Lineage: Eukaryota; Metazoa; Chordata; Crocodylia; Alligatoridae
Description: Ami-Mir-33-P1_3p* (star (passenger))
Source: RNAcentral